RNAcentral lists this ribosomal RNA (1310 nucleotides) under uncultured bacterium. Its description in RNAcentral is "bacterial SSU rRNA". It matches the Rfam family "Bacterial small subunit ribosomal RNA", at positions 28 to 1381 of the family's 1533-position model. The record is from RNAcentral.
AGCGUACGCUGGCGGCACGCCUAACACAUUGCAAGUUCGAACGAAGUAGCAAUACUUAGUGGCAGACGGGUGAGUAACAUGUAGGUAUCUGCCCUUUUGGCCUGGAAUAACACGAGGAAACUUGUGCUAAUACCGGAUAAGUCUUUUACGGAGAAAGCUUUAUGCACCAUUGGAUGAGCCUGCACUUGAUUAGUUUGUUGGUGGGGUAAUGGCCUACCAAGACUGUGAUCAAUAGCUGAUUUGAGAGGAUGAUCAGCCACAUUGGGACUGAGACACGGCCCAAACUCCUACGGGAGGCAGCAGUGGGGAAUCUUGCACAAUGGAGGAAACUCUGAUGCAGCGAUGCCGCGUGAGUGAAGAAGGCCCUUGGGUUGUAAAGCUCUUUCGUCGGGGAAGAAAAUGACUGUACCCGAAUAAGAAGGUCCGGCUAACUUCGUGCCAGCAGCCGCGGUAAUACGAAGGGACCUAGCGUAGUUCGGAAUUACUGGGCUUAAAGAGUUCGUAGGUGGUUGAAAAAGUUAGUGGUGAAAUCCCAGAGCUUAACUCUGGAACUGCCAUUAAAACUUUUCAGCUAGAGUAUGAUAGAGGAAAGCAGAAUUUCUAGUGUAGAGGUGAAAUUCGUAGAUAUUAGAAAGAAUACCAAUUGCGAAGGCAGCUUUCUGGAUCAUUACUGACACUGAGGAACGAAAGCAUGGGUAGCGAAGAGGAUUAGAUACCCUCGUAGUCCAUGCCGUAAACGAUGUGUGUUAGACGUUGGAAAUUUAUUUUCAGUGUCGCAGGGAAACCGAUAAACACACCGCCUGGGGAGUACGACCGCAAGGUUAAAACUCAAAUGAAUUGACGGGGACCCGCACAAGUAGUGGAGCAUGUGGUUUAAUUCGAAGAUACGCGCAGAACCUUACCAACACUUGACAUGUUCGUCGCGACUCUAAGAGAUUAGAGUUUUCGGUUCGGCCGGACGAAACACAGGUGCUGCAUGGCUGUCGUCAGCUCGUGUCGUGAGAUGUUGGGUUAAGUCCCGCAACGAGCGCAACCCUCACUUUUAGUUGCCAUCAUUAAGUUGGGCACUCUGAAAGAACUGCCAGUGAUAAGCUGGAGGAAGGUGGGGAUGACGUCAAGUCCUCAUGGCCCUUACGUGUUGGGCUACACACGUGCUACAAUGGUAUCUACAACAGGAAGCAAGACUGCGAAGUUAAGCAAAUCCCUAAAAGAUACCUCAGUUCGGAUUGCACUCUGCAACUCGAGUGCAUGAAGCUGGAAUUACUAGUAAUCGUGGAUCAGCGUGCCACGGUGAAUGCGUUCCCGGGUCU